AACGGCCUACCAAAGCGACGAUCCAUAGCCGGCCUGAGAGGGUGGACGGCCACAUUGGGACUGAGACACGGCCCAGACUCCUACGGGAGGCAGCAGUGGGGAAUAUUGCACAAUGGGGGAAACCCUGAUGCAGCGACGCCGCGUGAAGGAAGAAGUAUCUCGGUAUGUAAAGCUCUAUCAGCAGGGAAGAAACUGACGGUACCUGACUAAGAAGCACCGGCUAAAUAC
RNAcentral lists this ribosomal RNA (228 nucleotides) under uncultured bacterium. RNAcentral's name for it is "partial 16S ribosomal RNA". It matches the Rfam family "Bacterial small subunit ribosomal RNA", at positions 259 to 504 of the family's 1533-position model. The record is from RNAcentral.